AACGCAACUUGCGCUCCUUGGUAUUCCAUGGAGCAUGCCUGUUUGAGUGUCACGUAAACCCUCACCCAAGUGAUGUUACAGUCGUCUUGUGGUGGAUUUGGAUUGUGCCGUAAUUGGCUCAUCCUGAAAUGCAUUAGCUUGCGCUUUUUACAGUGCUCGGCAUGGUGUGAUAAUUAUCUGCGCCGUCGCCUUAGGCCUGUUCUAUAUGUGUAGCUUCUAAUCGUCCCUUGUGGACAACUUACUUAACACUUUGGCCUCAAAUCAGGUAGGAUUACCCGCUGAACUUAA
Molecule: unclassified non-coding RNA, 288 nt
Filed under: uncultured Auriculariales
Lineage: Eukaryota; Fungi; Basidiomycota; Agaricomycetes; Auriculariales
Description: sequence contains ITS2
Rfam family: 5.8S ribosomal RNA (bases 1-52)
Source: RNAcentral